RNAcentral lists this ribosomal RNA (262 nucleotides) under uncultured bacterium. RNAcentral describes it as "partial 16S ribosomal RNA". It matches the Rfam family "Bacterial small subunit ribosomal RNA", at positions 92 to 354 of the family's 1533-position model. The record is from RNAcentral.
UUAGUGGCGGACGGGUGAGUAACGCGUGGAUAACCUGCCGUAUACAGGGGGAUAACACUUAGAAAUAGGUGCUAAUACCGCAUAAGCGCACGGUUCCGCAUGGAACAGUGUGAAAAACUCCGGUGGUAUACGAUGGAUCCGCGUCUGAUUAGCCAGUUGGCGGGGUAACGGCCCACCAAAGCGACGAUCAGUAGCCGGCCUGAGAGGGUGAACGGCCACAUUGGGACUGAGACACGGUCCAGACUCCUACGGGAGGCAGCAG